GUGGUCGCUUUGGCAGCACAUAUACCAGAAUUGGAACAAUACAGAGAAGAUUAGCAUGGCCCCUGCUUGAAGAUGACACACAAAUUUGUGAAGCAUUCCAUAUUUUC
Prolemur simus (greater bamboo lemur) is the source of this 107-nucleotide small nuclear RNA. The record is from Ensembl. Lineage: Eukaryota; Metazoa; Chordata; Mammalia; Primates; Lemuridae.